AUUGAACGCUGGCGGCAGGCUUAACACAUGCAAGUCGAGCGGUAACAGAGAGAAGCUUGCUUCUCUGCUGACGAGCGGCGGACGGGUGAGUAAUGCCUAGGAAUCUGCCUAGUAGUGGGGGAUAACUUGCCGAAAGGUAAGCUAAUACCGCAUACGUCCUACGGGAGCAAGGAGGGGACCUUCGGGCCUUUCGCUAUUAGAUGAGCCUAGGUCGGAUUAGUUAGUUGGUGAGGUAAUGGCUCACCAAGACCGCGAUCCGUAACUGGUCUGAGAGGAUGAUCAGUCACACUGGAACUGAGACACGGUCCAGACUCCUACGGGAGGCAGCAGUGGGGAAUAUUGGGCAAUGGGGGGAACCCUGAUCCAGCCAUGCCGCGUGUGUGAAGAAGGUCUUAGGAUUGUAAAGCACUUUAAGUUGGGAGGAAGAGCAGUUAACUAAUAUUUGACUGUUUUGACGUUACCGACAGAAUAAGCACCGGCUAACUUCGUGCCAGCCGCCGCAGUAA
Molecule: ribosomal RNA, 506 nt
Filed under: uncultured bacterium
Lineage: Bacteria
Description: partial 16S ribosomal RNA
Rfam family: Bacterial small subunit ribosomal RNA
Source: RNAcentral